CCUACGGGGGGCAGCAGUGGGGAAUAUUGCACAAUGGGGGAAACCCUGAUGCAGCGACGCCGCGUGAAGGAAGAAGUAUUUCGGUAUGUUAACUUCUAUCAGCCGGGGAGAAAAUGACGGUACCUGACUAAGAAGCCCCGGCUAACUACGUGCCAGCAGCCGCGGUAAUACGUAGGGGGUAAGCGUUAUCCGGAUUUACUGGGUGUAAAGGGAGCGUAGGCGGUUUAGUAAGUCAGAUGGUAAAGCCCGGGGGUCAACUCCGGGACUGCCUUUGAAACUGUGGAACUAGAUUGCAGGAGAGGAAAGUGGAAUGCCUGGUGUAGCGGUGAAAUGCGUAGAUAUUAGGAGGAACACCAGUGGCGAAGGCGGCUUACCGG
Molecule: ribosomal RNA, 377 nt
Filed under: uncultured bacterium
Lineage: Bacteria
Description: partial 16S ribosomal RNA
Rfam family: Bacterial small subunit ribosomal RNA
Source: RNAcentral